Molecule: ribosomal RNA, 479 nt
Filed under: uncultured bacterium
Lineage: Bacteria
Description: bacterial SSU rRNA
Rfam family: Bacterial small subunit ribosomal RNA
Source: RNAcentral
GACGAACGCUGGCGGCGUGCCUAACACAUGCAAGUCUACUCAGCAAUGGGUGGCGAACGGGUGAGUAACGCGUAGACAAUCUGCCCUUUAAUCACGGAUAACCUAGUGAAAACUGGACUAAAACGGGAUGUGGUCGCGAUAUGGCAUCAUAUGCGAUCAAAGACGUAGUCGUUAAAGGAGGAGUCUGCGUAACAUUAGCUAGUUGGUAAGGUAACGGCUUACCAAGGCGACGAUGUUUAGCUGGUCUGAGAGGAUGAUCAGCCACACUGGGACUGAGAUACGGCCCAGACUCCUACGGGAGGCAGCAGUGAGGAAUAUUGCACAAUGGGGGCAACCCUGAUGCAGCAACGCCGCGUGUACGAUGACACAGUUUAUCUGCGUAAAGUACUGUUAACCGGGACGAAAAGAUGCAUGGACUGCAUUUAUAUGACGGUACCGGUAGAGGAAGCUCCGGCUAACUCCGUGCCAGCAGCCGCGGU